UCCCAAAAUAAGUGCAGUUUUAACACCGUUCAUGCUCAACGUUUGACCGUUCGUCUUAUUUGAAAAACAAUUAUGACUAGUAUUUUUAUUGUUAUUAGAUGAUAAUACAUGAAUAGUACUUUAUGCGUGACUAAUAUUUUUAUUUUUUUUAUAAUUUUUUCAAAUAAGACGGACAGUCAAAACGCUGGACACGGAUAUCUAUGGUUGCACUUAUUUUGGGACGGAGGUGG
This 230-nucleotide microRNA precursor is filed under the name Oryza sativa (Asian cultivated rice). RNAcentral's name for it is "partial microRNA MIR433a-42-as precursor". It matches the Rfam family "MIR812 microRNA precursor family". The record is from RNAcentral. Lineage: Eukaryota; Viridiplantae; Streptophyta; Magnoliopsida; Poales; Poaceae.